GUUUGAUGUUCUAACGUGGACCCGUGAUCCGGGUUGCGGACAGUGUCUGGUGGGUAGUUUGACUGGGGCGGUCUCCUCCUAAAGAGUAACGGAGGAGCACGAAGGUUGGCUAAUCCUGGUCGGACAUCAGGAGGUUAGUGCAAUGGCAUAAGCCAGCUUGACUGCGAGCGUGACGGCGCGAGCAGGUGCGAAAGCAGGUCAUAGUGAUCCGGUGGUUCUGAAUGGAAGGGCCAUCGCUCAACGGAUAAAAGGUACUCCGGGGAUAACAGGCUGAUACCGCCCAAGAGUUCAUAUCGACGGCGGUGUUUGGCACCUCGAUGUCGGCUCAUCACAUCCUGGGGCUGAAGUAGGUCCCAAGGGUAUGGCUGUUCGCCAUUUAAAGUGGUACGCGAGCUGGGUUUAGAACGUCGUGAGACAGUUCGGUCCCUAUCUGCCGUGGGCGCUGGAGAACUGAGGGGGGCUGCUCCUAGUACGAGAGGACCGGAGUGGACGCAUCACUGGUGUUCGGGUUGUCAUGCCAAUGGCACUGCCCGGUAGCUAAAUGCGGAAGAGAUAAGUGCUGAAAGCAUCUAAGCACGAAACUUGCCCCGAGA
This 593-nucleotide ribosomal RNA is filed under the name Salmonella enterica. RNAcentral describes it as "partial 23S ribosomal RNA". It matches the Rfam family "Bacterial large subunit ribosomal RNA", at positions 2212 to 2804 of the family's 2925-position model. Lineage: Bacteria; Pseudomonadati; Pseudomonadota; Gammaproteobacteria; Enterobacterales; Enterobacteriaceae. The record is from RNAcentral.